UGGCUGUAACAAAGGGAAGCGAAGCCGUGAGGUGGAGCAAAACCCAAAAAAGCAGUCUCAGUUCGGAUUGAAGGCUGAAAUUCGCCUUCAUGAAGCCGGAAUUGCUAGUAAUGGCAGGUCAGCAUACUGCCGUGAAUACGUUCCCGGGCCUUGUACACACCGCCCGUCACACCAUGAGAGUUGGGAAUACCCGAAGUCGGUAGUCUAACCGCAAGGAGGACGCCGCCGAAGGUGGGGUUGAUGAUUAGGGUUAAGUCGUAACAAGGUAAC
Molecule: ribosomal RNA, 270 nt
Filed under: uncultured bacterium
Lineage: Bacteria
Description: partial 16S ribosomal RNA
Rfam family: Bacterial small subunit ribosomal RNA
Source: RNAcentral